AACGCGAAGAACCUUACCUGGGCUCGAACGGCUCACGAAAGUCUUUGGAAACAGAGAUUUCCCGCAAGGGACGGGAGUCGAGGUGCUGCAUGGCUGUCGUCAGCUCGUGUCGUGAGAUGUUGGGUUAAGUCCCGCAACGAGCGCAACCCUUGUCCUGUGUUACCAUGCCGAAAGGCGGCACUCGCAGGAGACCGCCAGCGAUAAGCUGGAGGAAGGUGGGGAUGACGUCAAGUCCUCAUGGCCUUUAUGUCCAGGGCUACACACGUGCUACAAUGGGCGGUACAAAGCGCUGCUAAGCCGCAAGGCGGAGCCAAUCGCAAAAAGCCGCUCUCAGUUCGGAUUGCAGGCUGCAACUCGCCUGCAUGAAGCUGGAAUCGCUAGUAAUGCUAUAUCAGAACGAUAGCGUGAAUACGUUCCCGGGCCUUGUACACACCGGUACUA
RNAcentral lists this ribosomal RNA (441 nucleotides) under uncultured bacterium. Its description in RNAcentral is "bacterial SSU rRNA". It matches the Rfam family "Bacterial small subunit ribosomal RNA", at positions 958 to 1398 of the family's 1533-position model. The record is from RNAcentral.